GACGAACGCUGGCGGCGUGCCUAAUACAUGCAAGUCGAGCGAAGUUUUUCUGGUGCUUGCACUAGAAAAACUUAGCGGCGAACGGGUGAGUAACACGUAAAGAACCUGCCUCAUAGACUGGGACAACUAUUGGAAACGAUAGCUAAUACCGGAUAACAGCAUUAACUGCAUGGUUGAUGUUUAAAAGUUGGUUUUGCUAACACUAUGAGAUGGCUUUGCGGUGCAUUAGCUAGUUGGUGGGGUAAAGGCCUACCAAGGCGACGAUGCAUAGCCGACCUGAGAGGGUGAUCGGCCACACUGGGACUGAGACACGGUCCAGACUCCUACGGGAGGCAGCAGUAGGGAAUCUUCCGCAAUGGGCGAAAGCCUGACGGAGCAACGCCGCGUGAGUGAAGAAGGAUUUCGGUUCGUAAAGCUCUGUUGUUAGGGAAGAAUGAUUGUGUAGUAACUAUACACAGUAGAGACGGUACCUAACCAGAAAGCCACGGCUAACUACGUG
This 499-nucleotide ribosomal RNA is filed under the name uncultured bacterium. RNAcentral describes it as "partial 16S ribosomal RNA". It matches the Rfam family "Bacterial small subunit ribosomal RNA", at positions 28 to 507 of the family's 1533-position model. The record is from RNAcentral.